Molecule: long non-coding RNA, 1211 nt
Filed under: Sus scrofa (pig)
Lineage: Eukaryota; Metazoa; Chordata; Mammalia; Artiodactyla; Suidae
Description: lncRNA (ENSSSCG00070008858.1)
Source: RNAcentral
UCUUUUGAAAAAUAAAUGACAUAUAGGCGCUACAGACAGGCUCAGUUUCCUGGAAAGAACACUGUGCGCUACGUGGCUCUCGAUAGGCAGGUGAGGGAGGGGAAACUGAAGCCUAAAGCCUGAGAAAGUGAGCAGGGUAGUGAGGGAGGGGACCUCCCAGCAGAAAUCGGUUCAGAUCCGACCUCAGCGGGGUGCGUGCACCAGAUGUUUGCAGAGGGUGUGGAUCCGCUGCCAGGCUCCGCGCCCCCGCCCCGGGGAACCGGGGAACCGAGCUCGUCUUGGCUGGGCUUCUAGCAAAAUCCUGGUCUUUGGAAUUUUUUCCAAACAGGGAGCUACUCCGUGCUGCCCGGGGGGUCCCGGCGGUGCGGAAGCCCACCUUCUUGGCGUGUCCCCCGGAAGUGGCUGCCUAUUGUCUGGUCUUAGAGUCGGGGUUUCAGCUUUUGUGGGAGGCCACAGUCUUCUAGGAAGGGGGCUUCUCCCUGUGGAGAGGGGGCUCCAUGUAUCUUCCAGAAGCGUCUCAGCAUCGCGCCUUCCCACUAAGCAUCGUAGGAUGGGCCUGCCAGGACCCAGGGCCACCGGGCCGCUCAAGGAGCCACAUCUCUCAGUUUUCCGCGCCACGCCUCUGCAGAUUUCUGCCCCAGGAGUGUGUGAUCACCAAUUACUUUCUGAUCCAAAUGUGUUUCUCAAGCAGAAAAGGCUUCACAGAGCGAAGAGAAGCACGGCGUGAAGCGUUGCUGCUUGAAAGCUGUGACGACGUGAACACGCGGUGGUUUAGCAGCUCUGGAUCCUCUCUGGGCCGAUGGGUAUGAGCUGGGCCCGUUCUCCACGUGCUGGGGGAUGGCGACAUGAAGCGUAUCUUCCUCCCUCAUCUGGACAGAAUGGUACAGACGGACUCUCUGGUCCUGUUUGACUUGCAUCCCCAAUCACUGCGGCCAGGAAAAAAAAAUGGUUUUUCAUGGAUUGGCCAAUUUUAGUUCCAGGGCCCAUCUCUGCAGUCAAGAGGCGGGGUGUGAUGUGGCAUGGACAGCCUAUAAAAUCGGAUUGUGAUGAUCAUGGAACAACUAUAAAUGUAGUGAAUUCAUUGAGUAAUUAAAAAAAAAAAGAGGUGGAGUCUGGAAAUUGACAGCCCCAACAGAACCCUGCAAAAGGAGGGAAGAAAGAGUCUUCAAAGGAAAUUUGAUUACUAUCACCAAGAGGAGGAGGGAAAGGGU